UACGAAGGUGGCAACCGUUGCUCGGAUUCACUGGGCAUAAAGCGCGCGUAGGUGGCUGUGAAAGUCAUCGGUGAAAUCCUACCGCCCAACGGUGGAACUGCCGGUGAAACUCCACGGCUUGAGGACGGGAGGGGAGAGUGGAACUCCUGGUGUAGCGGUGAAAUGCGUAGAUAUCAGGAGGAACGCCGGUGGCGAAAGCGACUCUCUGGACCGUACCUGACACUGAGGCGCGAAAGCUAGGGGAGCAAACAGG
RNAcentral lists this unclassified non-coding RNA (253 nucleotides) under uncultured Planctomycetota bacterium. RNAcentral's name for it is "uncultured planctomycete contains 16S-23S intergenic spacer region". It matches the Rfam family "Bacterial small subunit ribosomal RNA", at positions 524 to 776 of the family's 1533-position model. Lineage: Bacteria; Pseudomonadati; Planctomycetota. The record is from RNAcentral.